This 252-nucleotide ribosomal RNA is filed under the name uncultured bacterium. RNAcentral's name for it is "partial 16S ribosomal RNA". It matches the Rfam family "Bacterial small subunit ribosomal RNA", at positions 524 to 776 of the family's 1533-position model. The record is from RNAcentral.
UACGUAGGUCCCGAGCGUUGUCCGGAUUUAUUGGGCGUAAAGCGAGCGCAGGUGGUUUAUUAAGUCUGGUGUAAAAGGCAGUGGCUCAACCAUUGUAUGCAUUGGAAACUGGUAGACUUGAGUGCAGGAGAGGAGAGUGGAAUUCCAUGUGUAGCGGUGAAAUGCGUAGAUAUGUGGAGGAACACCGGUGGCGAAAGCGGCUCUCUGGCCUGUAACUGACACUGAGGCUCGAAAGCGUGGGGAGCAAACAGG